GCUGUGGUUGAUGAUGCAUAAUCUUUUUUCCCCAUCUUAUCGACUAUGAUGAAAACCAUCUGAAAUUAAGCCAAAUAUGACUGAAACCACAUC
Molecule: small nucleolar RNA, 93 nt
Organism: Gasterosteus aculeatus (three-spined stickleback)
Lineage: Eukaryota; Metazoa; Chordata; Actinopteri; Perciformes; Gasterosteidae
Product: Small nucleolar SNORD12/SNORD106
Source: Ensembl